RNAcentral lists this transfer RNA (65 nucleotides) under Staphylinidae sp. BMNH 1274190. Its description in RNAcentral is "tRNA-Pro". The record is from RNAcentral. Lineage: Eukaryota; Metazoa; Arthropoda; Insecta; Coleoptera; Staphylinidae.
CAAAGGAUAGUUUAUAAAAAUAUAAAUUUUGGAGAUUUAAGAUAAGAGAAAAAUCUUUCCUUUGA